This 456-nucleotide ribosomal RNA is filed under the name Streptococcus sp. oral taxon 071. RNAcentral describes it as "bacterial SSU rRNA". It matches the Rfam family "Bacterial small subunit ribosomal RNA", at positions 28 to 469 of the family's 1533-position model. The record is from RNAcentral. Lineage: Bacteria; Bacillati; Bacillota; Bacilli; Lactobacillales; Streptococcaceae.
GACGAACGCUGGCGGCGUGCCUAAUACAUGCAAGUAGAACGCUGAAGAGAGGAGCUUGCUCUUCUUGGAUGAGUUGCGAACGGGUGAGUAACGCGUAGGUAACCUGCCUGGUAGCGGGGGAUAACUAUUGGAAACGAUAGCUAAUACCGCAUGAAAUGGAUUAUCGCAUGAUAAUUCAUUGAAAGGUGCAAAUGCAUCACUACCAGAUGGACCUGCGUUGUAUUAGCUAGUUGGUGGGGUAACGGCUCACCAAGGCGACGAUACAUAGCCGACCUGAGAGGGUGAUCGGCCACACUGGGACUGAGACACGGCCCAGACUCCUACGGGAGGCAGCAGUAGGGAAUCUUCGGCAAUGGACGGAAGUCUGACCGAGCAACGCCGCGUGAGUGAAGAAGGUUUUCGGAUCGUAAAGCUCUGUUGUAAGAGAAGAACGAGUGUGAGAGGGAAAGUUCACAC